Molecule: unclassified non-coding RNA, 4369 nt
Filed under: Hevea brasiliensis (rubber tree)
Lineage: Eukaryota; Viridiplantae; Streptophyta; Magnoliopsida; Malpighiales; Euphorbiaceae
Source: RNAcentral
AGAACAUAGGAGUCACAUCAUCAACACAAUUAAAAUCCAAGCCAUGCUCAAUCAAUCUGUUAUAUUUCAUACAAACAAAAAAAAAUUUAACAACAAAUGAUAGUGAUGCUAUCCAUUUCACUGGCUAUUACAGUGACAUAACAUUAAAUUGGGUUGAUGAUCCUUCUUGCAACCCCUUAAAUAUUGUCAUCCAACAACUUUUUCAAACUUCAACUAUGUGAGAGGCUUUGUUUUCUUUAAACUGGUAAACAGUCCUCUCAGGCCAAUACCAAUUACAAAAGGUUAUAGAGAUUCCUCAUAUAUUUGGUAACUGUACAAAUUUUCUGGUUGUCAACAGCCAUAGUGAACCACGAUAUAAAAAAAAGGUCAUGCUGGCCCAUUAUAAGGCUGCCAAUAUUGGAGUUUUUAUCCUAGAAUGUUGCAAAGCAACUUAUCUAGGCACACUCCAAGACUUUUGAAUCCUCUAAAAAGUCCACAAUGGUGAUGCCACGCAAACCACCAACCUACAUUUACCAGAAAGAUAAUAAUAUUAGUUGAAGUCUUAUUGUGAUGCAUGAUAACACCGAAACUUGUUCACUAAUGAACUCAAUAUGCUCCACAAGAUCAUAUUUAGUUUUAUAACACAAUCACAGAGAGCGUGGCAAUCAAACCGCCCAAUUUGAAAUUAUUAUUACCCACAGAUGCGGCAAAAAUAUAAAGGAAACACACUCAGUAAGUCCUGCAGGAAACCUCAAGAAACAAAUAAAUCUUCCAUAUGCAUUCUCCAAGCACGUCUCCUUCCUACACUUUUAUUGUUGAAAGCUUCUUUAAGGGCAUACUAUGCUAAAUAAUUCAAUUCUAUCAAUCUAGAACUUUGUCAACAUAAAUUCCCGUAGCAUGGUGUAAGCACUUUUUACUAGAAAUUUGGCCAAACAAACAUGGUUACUGUACUUUCAUUUACCAAAUAUUAUCAAACAUUGUUCCAAUUGUGGCAAUCCAAAAUAUAAUCAUUAGCAAGCGAGGCAUCAAUCAAGAAUUCAAAAACAGUUAUUUUUCAGCACAACUUGAUGGAAUUGACCAAAAAGUCGCUCCUUCGCUAAUCCAUACACAAAUGCUUGUAAUAGGCAAGAAAUAAUUGACAAAUUGUGGGCAAGACAUCGACUCUCACCUCCUGCUUGUUUGCAUGUGUGGUUUUUCUUCCAAAGUCCCAACUUCAUGAUACUGUUCUCCCAUAGCAGAUGGAUGCAAUGUAUAGAUUCUUUGACCAUUUAUCCUACCAUUUAGAUGAAAGAAAAAUUCCUUACCUGCUUUUUUACUAUUCCAAACUUUCACAUGUAAAAUUAACUUACCAAGACAUUUUAAGGACUCUCAAAAUAAACAUUUGCAUAUAUAAGAAUUUGGUGUAGAACAACCAUUAUAAUGCAUGAAAGCUCUCUAUGUCAGUCAAUUCUUAGAUAAAACAGAUUCAUUAAGAUAAUUCUGAAAAAUCUUUAACCACAAAGAAUUAGAGCUAAAACUAUUUUUAUCAGUUUUUAGCCCUUAAACAUACACUGCAUUCAAUUAAUGCACAAAAUGAUAUGCUUACAAAUUUGCAAUGCAGCUUCUUUCCAAGACUAAGCUCUAACAAAAGAUAAGUGAUCUUUCCAAACCUCAUAUAAUGACAUCUUUUUCUUUUCCCAGAGAAAAUUCAUUAUGAACUUAAUAUACAUGGUAGAUAACACAGACUGAAUUAAAGCAAUUCUUGCAGUGGAAAAAUAAAAUUUUCACCACCAGGUUUGUAGAUUGGGAAGCUUGCUCCCUUUAUUCAUAGCUCCAAUGCACUAGAAUCUUAUUAGUUCAUAGAAAAUCCUCACCUCAGACCCAGUGCAUGGACAUGCCAUACAUCACAUAAUGUGAAUAUUAUUCCCAUAAACAGCUAUAAUGAAAUCUCCCCAAUUAGAAAAAAGAAGUAAAUUUGUGGGAAAAGGAAAAUGGACGGAGAACGUAGCAGAAAAUCAGUAAGCAAGUAUCAGAGACCCUAGUAAAUUGGUGGGACAUAUUUAAGCAUCAAAGAGGGCGGGGGAGGGGGAGUUGUAACAAAAUUUAUAUGUACCUUGACAUGAGUACUAGGAAAUGCAGAAGUCCGCAAGGUUUCCUGUGCCACAUCUUGUGAUUUCCUCUUGGGAGCACUAAGUAUGAAUGCAGCUUGAUCUGCUGUAGCAGCAGUUGAGGUUAUUCGAUAUCCAUUCUCCCACCUUCUAUGGAUCCCCUCACUGGGAUAGAGGAAAUCAAGCUCAACAACCUGACUAGGAUAACCUGCAUUCCUGGACAUUACAAUGCCCCACUUGCUACCUGCAGUGGUCAUUGAGGUAACAGAGAAGCCUUCUUUCCACUUUUUAUUGAUCCAUUUGAAAGGAAAUACAUCACUAACUUUGUAGGAUUGUUGAGUAUAAGGAGUACCCUUUGACAUAACAACCAAGGCACUGCCAUUAGCUGUGCCAGCAACAGAAGUGAUAUAGUAAUUCUUGUCCCAUUGUUCCAUUAUCCACUCCUUGUGUAAGAAAAAGGGAGAUAAUUCAUAAACCUGUGAUGUAAACCCUGUUCCCGCGUCCAUAAUAAUGGCCCACAAAUUUGCAGAUGAGGCCACACAGCUAAUAUACAAACCAUCUUCCUUCCCUUUCACCACAUGCUGGUCAAUUCUUGAAUCCAUUACAUUGUAGUGAUACCUCUGCUUCAUUGACAAUCUGAAAUUAUAGACUGAGAUCCACUGUGUAGCUGGAGUACCAAGCCGUACUUUCUUCUUGAGCUGCCCACCAUCCUCCAAUUCAACAAGUGACCUUCCCCUCUUUUGACCCACCUUAAUAGCUCCAUCAGUUAGAAUAGGUCGUAACAUAAUAUUGGAGCCUAUGCUGUUGUCAAAAAGGGAAAUGAGCUUUGAAUAAUUGGGUUCUUCAUCAAAUCUCAUGUUGGUCACCAUGUCAUGAAAUUGUUGAAAAGGAGGAGGACACAAGAAACAAAGCAUUUCAGGAGAAGUUGCCAUCUUCUUUUUACAAACAAGGAAUCCUUUGUUUUCUCCCUGAAGCUCAAAGACAAAUCAAAUCAUAAUAUAUAGCGAAACAAAAGGAAAUCCAACAAGCAAAAGUUGCAAAAUUAAGUUAAUCAUGGUGUAAAAACUUACAACAUAACCUUGCCAAGGAAGCUUUCCCUUAAGGAGGAAUAUGAGGGUAUAAGCUAGGGACUCAAGAUCAUCCCUUCGGCUACCCGUCCUACCCAAAUGAGCAUGUACACUAGCAUACCGAACAGUUCCCCUGAAAACAUCAGGCUUUUGGUCAUAAUCAACAUGACGACCAGAAGUUGCAUCCCGCCAUCUUGAAGCCAAACCAAGAUCAAUUAGAUACAACUUCUUUUCAUUGGGUGUCCCAGGCUGGCCAAGCAAAAAGUUCUCUGGCUUAACAUCCCCAUGAACAAAACCUCUUAAGUGGAGCUGUUCUAGAAUUGAUAUUGCCUCCACUGCUAUACAAGCAACCAUCUGUUCAGACAGCGUUUGAUUAUUAGAGUUCCAAACAUCCCAAAGGCUAGGUCCAAGCAUGUCCAUGACUAGGAUAUAGUAGUCGCUUUGUUGACCUUUAUAAUGAACCAAUGGUAGCCCAUAACAACCAUUGAGAGUGCUAUAUACUUGCCACUCAUAAGGAGGGCCGUAACUGCAUCCUUUGCUAUUACAGUGCUCAAAUUUCAAAGCAACCUCAACAGCAUCAGGCCCAGUACGACCUGUACCACCAGACACCCUUCUUCCAACAUAAACUUGACCAAAACCCCCUUUCCCUAGCUUUCUCUCUAACUUGUACACAGGGGAGUUCCCAAAUUGUACCCUCUCAGGAAGCGGACUUGUGCUUCCUUCCUCUUCUCCAGCAGCCAAUUUUUCUGCACUUUUCUCAACUGCCUGUCUUGCUGGCAAGUCCAGACCUGCACGUCCCCUGCCACGCACUCCACCAACUAAAAGCUUUGCAUUCUCAUCUUGGUUCAUUGCUCUAGAGCCUCUACCUCGACCUCUUCCAGCACCACGCCGAGCAGUUGGAACUAAACCAGAAGGAUUCUGGUUUUGUUUGACCCUCUGUGAUCGCCGAACUCCAGCUUGCAAAUCUGGCAUUCUUUUCCCAUGCAAAAGUUACUUAUUUCUAUCUAGCGGAACAGGGAAAUAUGGAUAAUCAUCCCUUUAUGGAAUGAAUUGGAAAUUUAAAACCAGAAUCAUCUAAGCUAAAGGAUUUGAUGAAGGUAAUGAGCUCAAACGAAUUUUGAUCCUUUUUUAUGGAAGGAAAAAUAAAGAAAGAAUCGAUGGUGGUGGGUGACUUCUUGGUAUAUGUAAUGUGUGUGGGGGAGAGACGGUGCACGGGUAUCUAAGUGCGCACGUUAG